Molecule: ribosomal RNA, 550 nt
Filed under: uncultured Verrucomicrobiota bacterium
Lineage: Bacteria; Pseudomonadati; Verrucomicrobiota
Description: uncultured Verrucomicrobia bacterium partial 16S ribosomal RNA
Rfam family: Bacterial small subunit ribosomal RNA
Source: RNAcentral
AGACUUUGAUCNUNGCUCAGAAUCAACGCUGGCGGCGUGNCUAACACAUGCAAGUCGAGCGAGAAAGGGGACUUCGGUCCCUUAGUANAACGGCGGACGGGUGAGUAACACNUGGGUAAUCUGCCCUCGGGUGGGGAAUAACUCACGGAAACCUGGGCUAAUUCCNCAUGAUACUUUNUAUUCAUACAAUAUUGAGAAUCAAAGCUGGGGACCCUUCGGGGCCUGGCGCCUGGGGAGGAGCCCGCGGCCAAUUAUCUUGAUGGUGAGGUAAUGGCUCACCAUGGCUUCAANUGGUAACCNGCCUGANAGGGCGGACGGUCACACUGGGACUGAUACACGGCCCANACUCCUACGGGAGGCACCAGUGGGGAAUUUUUGUCAAUGGGGGAAACCCUGAACAAUCAACGCCCUNNUGAAUGACAANUACCUUNUUGNUGGAAACUUNUGUCCGAGGGGACGAAAACANUAUUGGUUUAUACCCAGUNUUGUUGACGGUCCCUACGAAGAAGNCCCGGGUUACUCCGUGCCAUCAGCCGCNGUAAUACCNGGG